GAAAUGCGAUAAGUAAUGUGAAUUGCAGAAUUCAGUGAAUCAUCGAAUCUUUGAACGCACCUUGCGCUCCUUGGUAUUCCUUGGAGCAUGCCUGUUUGAGUAUCAUGAAAUCUUCAAAGUAAAUCUUUUGUUAACUCAAUUGGUUUCUACUUUGGUAUUGGAGGUCUUUGCAGCUUCACACCUGCUCCUCUUUGUUCAUUAGCUGGAUCUCAGUGUUAUGCUUGGUUCCACUCGGCGUGAUAAGUUAUCUAUCGCUGAGGACACUGUAAAAGGUGGCCAAGGUAAAUGCAGAUGAACCGCUUCUAAUAGUCCAUUGACUUGGACAAUACUUUUAUGAUCUGAUCUCAAAUCAGUUAGGCCUACCCGCUGAACUUAAGC
RNAcentral lists this unclassified non-coding RNA (378 nucleotides) under plant metagenome. Its description in RNAcentral is "partial contains 5.8S ribosomal RNA, internal transcribed spacer 2, and large subunit ribosomal RNA". The stretch from base 1 to 105 matches the Rfam family "5.8S ribosomal RNA", at positions 50 to 154 of the family's 154-position model. The record is from RNAcentral.